GGUAAUGUACAGGUUUAGCUUAGAGGUCUAUAUUGUCACAAUGAAAGGUAUCGAGACUUCUGUACAGGAGAUAAUAUAUUAUAACACAAACAUAAAAUAAACCAAGCGUGACAUUAUGAAAACCGGAUAACGUCAUGACACUAACAGUCAAGAUGGUUUCCACGAGGACGUGUUGUUUUGAAGGAUUAAUAUUCAUAAUAACUUUAAUACAGUUUUCACAAGCCUUUCAAUGUUAUUCCUGUAGCUAUGUAUUCGCUGGUCAUGAUGGAACUGCUGGAUACGGCUGUGUAAAUGAUACACAAGAUUAUACCGUGAACAGGCAAAAGUUAGAAUGUAAACUACCGAAACAAUGUGUUAUUCAUGCUGUCUUCGCAGAAAGUUUUGGCACAAUGCAGUCGAUGGAUCGGGGAUGUAGAGAACCCGCAGCUGCUGACGGUUGUGUUGAUGUCUCAACAAGACCUGCUUGCGACUUCAGUUGUUCCAGUGAAUUAUGUAAUGAUAUCAAUGGUGAUUUAAGAUAUAAAUACAACGUAUUCGACAAUGAUGCUUCCAGUCCAACUUCUUCUUUAGGAUUAACUGGUUUAAUAUUUUCCACAAUUGUGACUUUAAUAUUAAAAGAAUAACGAAGUUGGAAUUAAUUUGUCUCUUUGCUUCAUAUUUGUUCGUUGUGUUACAGUACAGUAAAUAGAACAAUCCAUGAUUUGGUGUUGUCCAUUAAAUAUGUUAUUAUUAUUUGUAUAAUAUUCUUCUUUAAUCUCGUUGACAGUCAAGCCAUUAUCACAGUGAAUGUAUUAAUCUAUGAAUGUGUUCGUAUAUUGCCUUCAACCUGUUCCCUGUUUAUCGAUCACAUUUCUUGUUAGAAAAACAAAGACUUUUUUCGACAACUCUCAGAGUUGUCCCCCCCUCUUUCUUGCAAACUCUUGUUAAUGCUCGCAACCCCAUCUAGCUGUUGGUGGGCGUAAGUCAGAAGCCAGGUUGUACAACAAGGCAUGCUCAUAAAUAUUUCUUUAUUUAACCAAUGUAUAUGGCACCGUCCUAAUAAUAUAUUAAAGUAGCGUAAUCCCAGACAAUGAUUACAUUAUAUCUGUGUCACUCACUCAAUAAAACUCAAAAUAUAUUCUAAUAAUAUGAAAAAAACCCCUUCAUAUUCUUCGUCAUAUUUGGCGUUAUUGUUGUACAUAUUAAUAAUUAAUACCAAUUAAAUGUUGUAUUAUAGGUCAUGAGACAUAAUGAAAUUAAUUAAUCAGAUUUUAAAUUAAAAAUAUUCUUAUUUAUGUAUGACAUAAUAAUGAAGACGGAUCAUUUGACGAAUAUUUUAUUUGCUAUAAUUCAUUAGCAU
This is a long non-coding RNA of Patella vulgata (common limpet), 1339 nucleotides long. RefSeq lists it as uncharacterized. The record is from RefSeq and is a predicted model, not a curated record. The transcript has 3 exons. NCBI's taxonomy places the organism in Eukaryota, Metazoa, Mollusca, Gastropoda, Patellidae.